UGGUUUUUGAAAUAAGCUUUGAAAUGCAGGGAUCUUGAAAGCUGUCUAGGAAUAAAAUAGCUUUUUAGAUGAGAUGGCUAGUUACAUCUAUGUAUUUAGAAUAGUUAAUAAUAUGCCUGCUUUUGGAUUCACAAGAUUGGCUUAUACCAAUUAUUUUUAAGAAUUAACAUUGGGUAGUUUAUUGAAUAAUCUGUUUAUCUUUUCAAUAGUUUCAUUGCUGCUCAGUCAAAAAUACAGUUUCUCAAUAUUAUUU
This 253-nucleotide long non-coding RNA is filed under the name Bos taurus (domestic cattle). RNAcentral describes it as "long non-coding RNA NONBTAT014975". The record is from RNAcentral. Lineage: Eukaryota; Metazoa; Chordata; Mammalia; Artiodactyla; Bovidae.